GGUUUCCGUAGGUGAACCUGCGGAAGGAUCAUUAGUGAAUAUAGGACGUCCAACUUAACUUGGAGUCCGAACUCUCACUUUCUAACCCUGUGCACUUGUUUGGGAUAGUAACUCUCGCAAGAGAGCGAACUCCUAUUCACUUAUAAACACAAAGUCUAUGAAUGUAUUAAAUUUUAUAACAAAAUAAAACUUUCAACAACGGAUCUCUUGGCUCUCGCAUCGAUGAAGAACGCAGCGAAAUGCGAUAAGUAAUGUGAAUUGCAGAAUUCAGUGAAUCAUCGAAUCUUUGAACGCACCUUGCGCUCCAUGGUGUUCCGUGGAGCAUGCCUGUUUGAGUGUCAUGAAUACUUCAACCCUCCUCUUUCUUAAUGAUUGAAGAGGUGUUUGGUUUCUGAGCGCUGCUGGCCUUUACGGUCUAGCUCGUUCGUAAUGCAUUAGCAUCCGCAAUCGAACUUCGGAUUGACUUGGCGUAAUAGACUAUUCGCUGAGGAAUUCUAGUCUUCGGACUAGAGCCGGGUUGGGUUAAAGGAAGCUUCUAAUCAGAAUGUCUACAUUUUAAGAUUAGAUCUCAAAUCAGGUAGGACUACCCGCUGAACUUAAGCAUAUCAA
RNAcentral lists this ribosomal RNA (609 nucleotides) under Rhodotorula mucilaginosa. RNAcentral describes it as "eukaryotic LSU rRNA". The stretch from base 188 to 341 matches the Rfam family "5.8S ribosomal RNA". The record is from RNAcentral. Lineage: Eukaryota; Fungi; Basidiomycota; Microbotryomycetes; Sporidiobolales; Sporidiobolaceae.